UCUUCGAUGGUCUAGUGGUGAUGAUUUCCGCUUGUCAUUAGCAUCUGCUGGUAGCAAGCGCGGGAGACCGGGGUUCGAUUCCCCGUCGGAGAG
Molecule: non-coding RNA, 93 nt
Organism: Aplosporella prunicola CBS 121167
Lineage: Eukaryota; Fungi; Ascomycota; Dothideomycetes; Botryosphaeriales; Aplosporellaceae
Source: the annotation of a RefSeq genome assembly